ACUAAGCGUACACGGUGGAUGCCCUGGCAGUCAGAGGCGAUGAAGGACGUGCUAAUCUGCGAAAAGCGUCGGUAAGGUGAUAUGAACCGUUAUAACCGGCGAUGUCCGAAUGGGGAAACCCAGUGUGUUUCGACACACUAUCAUUAACUGAAUCCAUAGGUUAAUGAGGCGAACCGGGGGAACUGAAACAUCUAAGUACCCCGAGGAAAAGAAAUCAACCGAGAUUCCCCCAGUAGCGGCGAGCGAACGGGGAGGAGCCCAGAGCCUGAAUCAGUGUGUGUGUUAGUGGAAGCGUCUGGAAAGGCGCGCGAUACAGGGUGACAGCCCCGUACACAAAAAUGCACAUGCUGUGAGCUCGAUGAGUAGGGCGGGACACGUGGUAUCCUGUCUGAAUAUGGGGGGACCAUCCUCCAAGGCUAAAUACUCCUGACUGACCGAUAGUGAACCAGUACCGUGAGGGAAAGGCGAAAAGAACCCCGGCGAGGGGAGUGAAAAAGAACCUGAAACCGUGUACGUACAAGCAGUGGGAGCCCUGAUUUAUCAGGGUGACUGCGUACCUUUUGUAUAAUGGGUCAGCGACUUAUAUUCUGUAGCAAGGUUAACCGAAUAGGGGAGCCGGAGGGAAACCGAGUCUUAACUGGGCGUUAAGUUGCAGGGUAUAGACCCGAAACCCGGUGAUCUAGCCAUGGGCAGGUUGAAGGUUGGGUAACACUAACUGGAGGACCGAACCGACUAAUGUUGAAAAAUUAGCGGAUGACUUGUGGCUGGGGGUGAAAGGCCAAUCAAACCGGGAGAUAGCUGGUUCUCCCCGAAAGCUAUUUAGGUAGCGCCUCGUGAAUUCAUCUCCGGGGGUAGAGCACUGUUUCGGCAAGGGGGUCAUCCCGACUUACCAACCCGAUGCAAACUGCGAAUACCGGAGAAUGUUAUCACGGGAGACACACGGCGGGUGCUAACGUCCGUCGUGAAGAGGGAAACAACCCAGACCGCCAGCUAAGGUCCCAAAGUCAUGGUUAAGUGGGAAACGAUGUGGGAAGGCCCAGACAGCCAGGAUGUUGGCUUAGAAGCAGCCAUCAUUUAAAGAAAGCGUAAUAGCUCACUGGUCGAGUCGGCCUGCGCGGAAGAUGUAACGGGGCUAAACCAUGCACCGAAGCUGCGGCAGCGACACUGUGUGUUGUUGGGUAGGGGAGCGUUCUGUAAGCCUGCGAAGGUGUGCUGUGAGGUAUGCUGGAGGUAUCAGAAGUGCGAAUGCUGACAUAAGUAACGAUAAAGCGGGUGAAAAGCCCGCUCGCCGGAAGACCAAGGGUUCCUGUCCAACGUUAAUCGGGGCAGGGUGAGUCGACCCCUAAGGCGAGGCCGAAAGGCGUAGUCGAUGGGAAACAGGUUAAUAUUCCUGUACUUGGUGUUACUGCGAAGGGGGGACGGAGAAGGCUAUGUUGGCCGGGCGACGGUUGUCCCGGUUUAAGCGUGUAGGCUGGUUUUCCAGGCAAAUCCGGAGAAUCAAGGCUGAGGCGUGAUGACGAGGCACUACGGUGCUGAAGCAACAAAUGCCCUGCUUCCAGGAAAAGCCUCUAAGCAUCAGGUAACAUCAAAUCGUACCCCAAACCGACACAGGUGGUCAGGUAGAGAAUACCAAGGCGCUUGAGAGAACUCGGGUGAAGGAACUAGGCAAAAUGGUGCCGUAACUUCGGGAGAAGGCACGCUGAUAUGUAGGUGAAGCGACUUGCUCGUGGAGCUGAAAUCAGUCGAAGAUACCAGCUGGCUGCAACUGUUUAUUAAAAACACAGCACUGUGCAAACACGAAAGUGGACGUAUACGGUGUGACGCCUGCCCGGUGCCGGAAGGUUAAUUGAUGGGGUCAGCGCAAGCGAAGCUCUUGAUCGAAGCCCCGGUAAACGGCGGCCGUAACUAUAACGGUCCUAAGGUAGCGAAAUUCCUUGUCGGGUAAGUUCCGACCUGCACGAAUGGCGUAAUGAUGGCCAGGCUGUCUCCACCCGAGACUCAGUGAAAUUGAACUCGCUGUGAAGAUGCAGUGUACCCGCGGCAAGACGGAAAGACCCCGUGAACCUUUACUAUAGCUUGACACUGAACACUGGUCCUUGAUGUGUAGGAUAGGUGGGAGGCUUUGAAGUGUGGACGCCAGUCUGCAUGGAGCCGUCCUUGAAAUACCACCCUUUAAUGGCUGGUGUUCUAACGUGGGCCCGUAAUCCGGGUUGCGGACAGUGUCUGGUGGGUAGUUUGACUGGGGCGGUCUCCUCCUAAAGAGUAACGGAGGAGCACGAAGGUUGGCUAAUCCUGGUCGGACAUCAGGAGGUUAGUGCAAUGGCAUAAGCCAGCUUGACUGCGAGCGUGACGGCGCGAGCAGGUGCGAAAGCAGGUCAUAGUGAUCCGGUGGUUCUGAAUGGAAGGGCCAUCGCUCAACGGAUAAAAGGUACUCCGGGGAUAACAGGCUGAUACCGCCCAAGAGUUCAUAUCGACGGCGGUGUUUGGCACCUCGAUGUCGGCUCAUCACAUCCUGGGGCUGAAGUAGGUCCCAAGGGUAUGGCUGUUCGCCAUUUAAAGUGGUACGCGAGCUGGGUUUAGAACGUCGUGAGACAGUUCGGUCCCUAUCUGCCGUGGGCGCUGGAGAACUGAGGGGGGCUGCUCCUAGUACGAGAGGACCGGAGUGGACGCAUCACUGGUGUUCGGGUUGUCAUGCCAAUGGCACUGCCCGGUAGCUAAAUGCGGAAGAGAUAAGUGCUGAAAGCAUCUAAGCACGAAACUUGCCCCGAGAUGAGUUCUCCCUGAGACUUAGAGUCUCCUGAAGGAACGUUGAAGACGACGACGUUGAUAGGCCGGGUGUGUAAGCGCAGCGAUGCGUUGAGCUAACCGGUACUAAUGAACCGUGAGGCUUAACC
Molecule: ribosomal RNA, 2894 nt
Filed under: Escherichia albertii
Lineage: Bacteria; Pseudomonadati; Pseudomonadota; Gammaproteobacteria; Enterobacterales; Enterobacteriaceae
Description: bacterial LSU rRNA
Rfam family: Bacterial large subunit ribosomal RNA
Source: RNAcentral